Molecule: long non-coding RNA, 1875 nt
Filed under: Anas platyrhynchos platyrhynchos (common mallard)
Lineage: Eukaryota; Metazoa; Chordata; Aves; Anseriformes; Anatidae
Description: lncRNA (ENSAPLG00000026472.1)
Source: RNAcentral
GGCACUCUAAUAGUCAAGUAAAGGACUGAUUUAAAACAGCUGUGUUUUUUCACCACCACCUGCUGCAACAAUGCAACUUUAUACUUACCAAGCAGCAUACAGUUCACAGUGUGAAUGUAUGUACUAUUUUUUUUUCUUCCGGAGUUUAAAAGCCAAGUGCAAAGCUGAUUCUUCAAGUAGUUCUUCUAUUGGCAUACAGUCAUAUUCCCUCCAGCCCUGGUUUAGGCCCCUGUGUUAAGCUGAAGUAAUAAAUGCAUGGUGAAAUGGUUUAGUCUUGGAGAUGAAACAGGUACACGGCAGAGGGACUAUAGAAAUCUUACAGCAAGAGCAUUCAGCACAUAAGGACUUAAAUUUCUAUUAUUCUGCUUUUCUAGCUGAUGUCAAAGGUUUCCCAAUACCAUCCAAUAUAAUAUCAUUGAAUUUUCACUCAUAGUGAUGAAAAAUGUCUGUGAGACACAAGAGAAAGCAUAUCACAAAGGACAAAACGUCUUUAUUGUGAAUUGUUGAAUGGCAAAUACGGGGAGCAAGAAGCAGAAAGGUUACAAACGAAGCUGUAGCAGCUAAGUCACGAAGAGAAUCAGAGAAUCGUUAAGGCUGGAAAAGACCUCCAGGAUCACCCGAUCCGUGUAAGAGCACAUGUCAGAAAUCCCUUUCAGCUGUGGCGCUGAAGGAGCUGGCUGAGCAGUUGGGAGCCCAGGUGCUGGGUUCGCUGGGCGCAGCAGGCAGCCUGCCCUCCCCGGGCUGCAGCGGGCGCUGAGCUCCACCUGCUCCCCAGCGCCUUGACCGGGACCCCCCCGCUCCACCCCGCUCCCCUGGGGGCCCCUCUCCCCGUCCCUCCCCAGCCUCCCCCAUCCCUAUCGCCGUGUCCAGCCGACGGCGGGAGCCGCGGGGCUCAUCCCCGGCAGCUCCAUCCCGGGAGAAGCGACGAGACGGGACCGUGGGGAGCCCUCCCGAGCCCCCCCGGCCCCCUACCCGCGGGGGCGUGCCGGCACAAGCCAGGCGGGGGCCGGGCCGGGAGACGCCGGAGCUGGAGCUGGUCCCGGUGCCGGUCCCGGUGCCGCCGCUGCUGGGGGGGGGGGAGGCGGCGCCCGCCCCGCGCCCCCGCGCCCCGCCCGUCCCCGGCGGCAGCAGCAGCGGCCUCGGCACCCCCGGCAGCUCGGCCGGCAGCUCCAGCCCCAGCACCAUGGACCUCUCCUUCAUGGCCGCGCAGGUGUAUUCAGAGGUAUGACUGAGAACCAUCACCUGAACACUGACCACCUCUGGCGCCUGUGCUCUGGCCUGACUGUCAGGGCAGCAGUCAGGCCAGGAGAAGAACUGCAUGGAGAAGCCAGCCUUGAUGAAAAAUCAUGUCCCCACAGGUAUACAGUUUAGUGUCCCAGAAGGUAAUGCUCUGAUCAUCCCUGGAUUUCUUCUAGGUAUAGAUGAAGCUUACAGCCUAGCCUUCCAAUACUGGACUUAUGACUAUCGAAUUCUGUUAUUUUAUUAUUAAUUUAGUUAUUUAUUUUUAAGUAUGAUGUCAUUUCCUUCAAAAUGAAUUUAGCAAGUGAUCUUAGGCUUGGAAAAGAGGGCUUGUCAGACUGCACUGUUUCAGCGAAAGCCUGGCCAGCUGGCAGAAUGGGGCACACUCUUCUCCAAAAAUAAGCUGCAUCUCCGAGUGCCGAUUUUGACAGAUAUGUUUAAGAGUAUUACAGCUCAUGUAUAGCUCUCUGCCUGAGGAUCAUACUAUGCUCCUGUCAGUCCUGGUAGUCAUCCCAUUCCCUGCCUGUCACGCAGGAGGAACAGAGCAGUGACAGCAGAGGAGAUGCUGCAGCCAUCACACCUAUUUACAGCUCCUCGCUCACUGAUUUGAGAAUAAACAAAUUUGUUAUGCAUGCA